GCUGGGUGUAGUGGCGCAUGCCUGUAAUACCAGGUACUUGAGAGGCUGAGGCAAGAGGAUCGCUGGAGCUCAGGAGUUCGAGGCUGCAGUAAGCAAUGGGUGUGCCACUGCAGCCUAGCCUGAGCGACAGAGCAAGCCCCUGUCUCAA
Molecule: non-coding RNA, 148 nt
Filed under: Chlorocebus sabaeus (green monkey)
Lineage: Eukaryota; Metazoa; Chordata; Mammalia; Primates; Cercopithecidae
Source: Rfam by way of RNAcentral